AUUGAACGCUGGCGGCAUGCUUUACACAUGCAAGUCGAACGGCAGCGCGGGCUUCGGCCUGGCGGCGAGUGGCGAACGGGUGAGUAGUACAUCGGAACGUGCCCAGUAGUGGGGGAUAGCUCGGCGAAAGCCGGAUUAAUACCGCAUACGACCUGAGGGUGAAAGCGGGGGAUCUUCGGACCUCGCGCUAUUGGAGCGGCCGAUGGCAGAUUAGCUAGUUGGUGGGGUAAAGGCCUACCAAGGCGACGAUCUGUAGCUGGUCUGAGAGGACGACCAGCCACACUGGGACUGAGACACGGCCCAGACUCCUACGGGAGGCAGCAGUGGGGAAUUUUGGACAAUGGGCGAAAGCCUGAUCCAGCAAUGCCGCGUGUGUGAUGAAGGCCUUCGGGUUGUAAAGCACUUUUGGCGGGAACGAAAAGGACUGUGCAAAUACCACGGUUCGAUGACGGUACCCGCAGAAUAAGCACCGGCUAACUACGUG
Molecule: ribosomal RNA, 484 nt
Filed under: uncultured bacterium
Lineage: Bacteria
Description: partial 16S ribosomal RNA
Rfam family: Bacterial small subunit ribosomal RNA
Source: RNAcentral